AAGUCGUAACAAGGUUUCCGUAGGUGAACCUGCGUGAAGGAUCAUUA
This 47-nucleotide ribosomal RNA is filed under the name uncultured fungus. RNAcentral's name for it is "partial 18S ribosomal RNA". It matches the Rfam family "Eukaryotic small subunit ribosomal RNA", at positions 1786 to 1831 of the family's 1831-position model. The record is from RNAcentral. Lineage: Eukaryota; Fungi.